AUAGCGUAUAUUAAAGUUGUUGCAGUUAAAAAGCUCGUAGUUGAAUCUUUGGCCUGGCUGGCGGGUCCGCCUCACCGCGUGCACUUGUCCGGCCGGGCCUUCUCUUCUGGAGAACCGCAUGCCCUUCACUGGGCGUGUUGGGGACCAGGACUUUUACUUUGAAAAAAUUAGAGUGUUCAAAGCAGGCCUUUGCUCGAAUACGUUAGCAUGGAAUAAUAGAAUAGGACGUGCGGUCCUAUUUUGUUGUUUUCUAGGACCGCCGUAAUGAUUAAUAGGGACAGUCGGGGGCAUCAGUAUUCAAUUGUCAGAGGUGAAAUUCUUGGAUUUAUUGAAGACUAACUACUG
RNAcentral lists this ribosomal RNA (345 nucleotides) under uncultured eukaryote. RNAcentral's name for it is "SSU rRNA". It matches the Rfam family "Eukaryotic small subunit ribosomal RNA", at positions 594 to 945 of the family's 1831-position model. The record is from RNAcentral.